This 23-nucleotide non-coding RNA is filed under the name Mus musculus (house mouse). Lineage: Eukaryota; Metazoa; Chordata; Mammalia; Rodentia; Muridae. The record is from RNAcentral.
GACGAGAACUGCAUCUCCCACCU